AUGUUGGUGGCCAGGAUAAAAUCCGACCCCUCUGGAGACACUAUUUCCAGAACACGCAGGGUCUCAUUUUCGUUGUAGAUAGUAAUGACAGAGAGAGAAUUCAGGAAGCUGCCGAAGAAUUACAGAAAAUGCUUCAGGAGGAUGAGCUGAGAGAUGCAGUACUUCUAGUCUUUGCAAAUAAGCAAGACCUGCCCAACACCAUGGCGAUCAGUGAAAUGACAGACAAAUUGACACUCCAGACUCUUCGUAAUAAGAUUUGGUAUGUGCAAGCAACUUGUGCGACUCAAGGAACCGGUCUAUAUGAAGGACUUGACUGGCUUUCAAACGAGCUCUCCAUGCGCUAAAUCACGUACAAUUCUUGCACCGAGGACAUGGCGAUCGAAUUGGCCUAGGCUCGUAACAUCCAAACUAGUUUGCAUCUUGGUCAUUUAUAUGGUUUAAGGAACUGGUAUGGGCAGCCAACAGUCAUAUGUUUAAAGAUUUGUUUUGUUUAUUUACCAAAAUAUUUGUUUCCAUGUUACUUCCAGGGUAACAUGGCAGGGGUUAAAAUGGAAAAAUAUAAUAAAUCCUCCCUUCUGUGAAUGUGUAUUCCUGGUUCUACUUGUCCCCCAUUUUCCCCAAGCUUUUAUUCCUGGACAUAAUUAUUGUGAUGCUAUAGAAUUGAAAGUUGUUUUGUGGUGGACGGGAGGUUUGUUCCUCUUGUAAUCUUGUCAUUAACAGUCAUUUUUUAGUUGGUUGGGGCCAUGUGUUGCCCGAUCCUGGUUAACUGAUGGAUUUAAAAUAGUGUCUAUGCUUCAAGAUUUUUUUUUAUUUUUUUGAUUGUCAUUCCUUAGACAUUUCUGCUGAUUUAAAACAUAGCAUUCCAUGCGUAUUUAUUUAAAAUAUUUUCCCCACAAUAAAAACGAACCCUCUCAAGUGGCAGAGGGUA
Long non-coding RNA from Pelobates fuscus (common spadefoot toad), 928 nucleotides. RefSeq lists it as uncharacterized. Lineage: Eukaryota; Metazoa; Chordata; Amphibia; Anura; Pelobatidae. The record is from RefSeq and is a predicted model, not a curated record. The transcript is spliced from 2 exons.